Molecule: transfer RNA, 72 nt
Filed under: Limnonectes fragilis (fragile wart frog)
Lineage: Eukaryota; Metazoa; Chordata; Amphibia; Anura; Dicroglossidae
Description: tRNA-Leu
Source: RNAcentral
GCUUUUAAUGGAGAACAGUUUUCCUCUGGUUUUAGGGACCAGCCAAUCUUGGUGCAAAUCCAAGUAAAAGCU